This 442-nucleotide ribosomal RNA is filed under the name uncultured Planctomycetota bacterium. Its description in RNAcentral is "bacterial SSU rRNA". It matches the Rfam family "Bacterial small subunit ribosomal RNA", at positions 223 to 656 of the family's 1533-position model. The record is from RNAcentral. Lineage: Bacteria; Pseudomonadati; Planctomycetota.
AGAGGGGUCAAUGUCCUAUCAGCUAGUUGGUAGGGUAAUGGCCUACCAAGGCUAAGACGGGUAGCCGGCCUGAGAGGGUGGUCGGCCACACUGGGACUGAGACACUGCCCAGACUCCUACGGGAGGCUGCAGUCGAGAAUCUUUCGCAAUGCCCGAAAGGGUGACGAAGCGACGCCGCGUGUGGGAAGAAGGCCCUCGGGUUGUAAACCACUGUCGGGAGUUAAGAAAUGUAAGGGUGUUAAUAGCAUCCUUACUUGACUAAGGCUCCGGAGGAAGCCACGGCUAACUCUGUGCCAGCAGCCGCGGUAAUACAGAGGCGGCAAGCGUUGUUCGGAAUUAUUGGGCGUAAAGAGCACGUAGGCGGCUUUGUAAGUCAGUUGUGAAAGCCUUCCGCUUAACGGAAGAACAGCAUCUGAUACUGCAAGGCUAGAGUGCGGAAGGG